This 253-nucleotide ribosomal RNA is filed under the name uncultured bacterium. RNAcentral describes it as "partial 16S ribosomal RNA". It matches the Rfam family "Bacterial small subunit ribosomal RNA", at positions 524 to 776 of the family's 1533-position model. The record is from RNAcentral.
UACGUAGGGUGCGAGCGUUAAUCGGAAUUACCGGGCGUAAAGCGUGCGCAGGCGGUUCGUUAAGUCAGCUGUGAAAGCCCCGGGCUCAACCUGGGAACUGCGGUUGAAACUGGCGAACUAGAAUCUGGCAGAGGGGGGUGGAAUUCCACGUGUAGCAGUGAAAUGCGUAGAGAUGUGGAGGAACACCGAUGGCGAAGGCAGCCCCCUGGGCUAAGAUUGACGCUCAGGCACGAAAGCGUGGGGAGCAAACAGG